GCUGGGUGUGGUGGUGGGCGCCUGUAAUCCCAGCUACUCGGGAGGCUGAGGCAGGAGAAUCGCUUGAACCCAGGAGGUGGAGGUUGCCGUGAGCCGAGGUUGUGCCACUGUACUCCAGCCUGGGUGACAGAGCGAGACUCUGUCUCAA
Molecule: small RNA, 148 nt
Filed under: Macaca fascicularis (crab-eating macaque)
Lineage: Eukaryota; Metazoa; Chordata; Mammalia; Primates; Cercopithecidae
Description: Metazoan signal recognition particle RNA (ENSMFAG00000064173.1)
Source: Rfam by way of RNAcentral